CGCAGGCUGGAGGCUGGCCUCCUCCAUUCAGAGCGCACAGGUCGGUGUCAGCUCUGAUUAUCAUAAAACCCAGCCGGCCUCAAAUUAAGGCACGAGGGGCUCCCGGUCCCUCUUUCACUGCAGACUGACGAGCAGCUCACAGGUCUCCGCAUCACCAUCCUCCUCCUCCUCCUCCCUCCUCUCGCUUCUCUCGCUGCCCGCAGCCGCAGCUCCUCACACUCCUGUUUGACCCGCUUUAUCCGGAAAAUGACGGCAUCGUCAGACCUAAAGUUCGUGUUAAGUCACAAUGAAGACAAAAAGCCACCGGACAGAAUGAAGAGCAACAGUCAGCCUGCAGAUUGAUGGCGUUGUGGAAAAAAUCCCUGAUUGGCUGCGUUUGACUCAAAAACUGGAACAACUGAAGCAUUUUGUGUGGAUUUUCUGCUGUGCAUUUAAACCUCUGCUACAAAGACUUUGUUAUGUAGAGGUUUACAAUCCAACAUUCAACAACGGUGUCACUGAAUUGUAAUAUUAGAUAUUAAUAUAUAUAUUUCCACCAGUUGUGCCUUGAGAUGUGUCAAUAAAUAUAUUAAAAUAUGUCACAAUUUAAGUAAA
Long non-coding RNA from Amphiprion ocellaris (clown anemonefish), 594 nucleotides. The record is from Ensembl. Lineage: Eukaryota; Metazoa; Chordata; Actinopteri; Pomacentridae.